Molecule: ribosomal RNA, 495 nt
Filed under: uncultured bacterium
Lineage: Bacteria
Description: bacterial SSU rRNA
Rfam family: Bacterial small subunit ribosomal RNA
Source: RNAcentral
CAGGCCGUUUAAUCGUUAAAACUGGGCAUAGGCUCCGGGGCGGUUUGUUAAGUCAGAUGUGAAAUCCCUGGGAUCAUCCUGGCAGCUGAAUCUGAGACUGGCCUGCUUGUGUCCCGCAUAGGGGGCAUCCCUUCCUCGUGUACUGGUGUAAUGCCUAAAAAUCUGGCGGAAUUCCGCCGUCCCACCGUGCCCUGCUGAUGCUGAAUGUCAAUUGCGAAAUUUGAUUUUGUUAAGGAUUAGUUCCCUUUUGUCCACGCCCUAUUUUUUCCCUUGGACCUGUGCCCUUGAAUCCCUUAUCCUGAACUAAAUCGUCCGAGAACCGCCUGGUGUUGUUCCCGCAAGGAUAAAAAUCCCAUGAUUUGACAACGGCCACUCCAACCGGUGGAGCAUGUGGUUUAAUUAUCUGGGCCACGAACAACCUUACCUGCCCUUGACCUCCACAGAAGUUUUGGGAGAUAAGUGUGUGCCUUCACUAAAUCGUGAAACCUAUGCUGC